ACGAACGCUGGCGGCGUGCCUAAUACAUGCAAGUCGAACGGUCUUUCUAUGGAAGCUUGCUUCCACUGAGAAGAUAGUGGCGAACGGGUGAGUAACACGUGGGUAACCUGCCCAUAAGAGGGGGAUAACAUCCGGAAACGGGUGCUAAUACCGCAUAGUUUUCUUGAUUGCAUGAUUGAGAAAGGAAAGACGGCCUUUGUGCUGUCGCUUAUGGAUGGACCCGCGGCGUAUUAGUUAGUUGGUGAGGUAACGGCUCACCAAGACGAUGAUACGUAGCCGACCUGAGAGGGUGAUCGGCCACAUUGGGACUGAGACACGGCCCAAACUCCUACGGGAGGCAGCAGUAGGGAAUCUUCCGCAAUGGACGAAAGUCUGACGGAGCAACGCCGCGUGAGUGAAGAAAGGUUUUCGGAUCGUAAAACUCUGUUGUCAGAGAAGAACAAGUUGGAGAGUAACUGCUCCAGCCUUGACGGUAUCUGACCAGAAAGCCACGGCUAACUACGUGCCAGCCGCGGC
This 516-nucleotide ribosomal RNA is filed under the name uncultured bacterium. RNAcentral describes it as "bacterial SSU rRNA". It matches the Rfam family "Bacterial small subunit ribosomal RNA", at positions 29 to 518 of the family's 1533-position model. The record is from RNAcentral.